GCCAGGCGCGGUGGCGCGUGCCUGUAGUCCCAGCUACUCAGGAGGCUGAGGUGGGAGGAUUGCUUGAGUCCAGGAGUUCUGGGCUGUAGUGCGCUAUGCUGAUCCGGUGUCUGCACUAAGUUCGGCAUCAAUAUGGUGACCUCCCAGGAGUGGGAGACCACCAGGUUGCUUAAGGAGGGGUGAACCGCCCAGGUUGGAAAUGGGGCAGGUCAAAACUCCUGUGCUGAUCAGUAGUGGGAUCACGCCUGUGAAUAGCCACUGCACUCCAGCCUGGGCAAUACAGCGAGACCGCGUCUCUU
This is an unclassified non-coding RNA of Callithrix jacchus (white-tufted-ear marmoset), 299 nucleotides long. It matches the Rfam family "Metazoan signal recognition particle RNA". From Rfam's summary of the family: The signal recognition particle (SRP) is a universally conserved ribonucleoprotein. It is involved in the co-translational targeting of proteins to membranes. The record is from Ensembl. NCBI's taxonomy places the organism in Eukaryota, Metazoa, Chordata, Mammalia, Primates, Cebidae.